RNAcentral lists this ribosomal RNA (300 nucleotides) under uncultured Acidobacteriota bacterium. RNAcentral describes it as "bacterial SSU rRNA". It matches the Rfam family "Bacterial small subunit ribosomal RNA", at positions 54 to 345 of the family's 1533-position model. Lineage: Bacteria; Pseudomonadati; Acidobacteriota. The record is from RNAcentral.
CAUGCAAGUCGAACGCGAGAGGGGAGCAAUCCUGAAGCCCACAAACGGGUGAGUAACACGUGGGUGACCUGCUUAGAGUGGGGGAUAACGUCCCGAAAGGGACGCUAAUACCGCAUGACAUCCUGCUUUUGGAAAAGCGGACAUUAUCGUCUCGGGAUCGCAAGACCUGGCGCUUGAAGAGGGGCCCGCGCCUGAUUAGCUAGUUGGUGAGGUAACGGCUCACCAAGGCGACGAUCAGUAUCCGGCCUGAGAGGGCGGACGGACACACUGGGACUGAGACACGGCCCAGACUCCUACGGG